Symphalangus syndactylus (siamang) is the source of this 425-nucleotide long non-coding RNA. RefSeq lists it as uncharacterized. Lineage: Eukaryota; Metazoa; Chordata; Mammalia; Primates; Hylobatidae. The record is from RefSeq and is a predicted model, not a curated record.
GUCCCGCCCUCUGCGCGUGCUCGGUUUGGAACUUAAGCUCCCCUUGCACGCGGGGCGGCUGCAUGCUCUGGGCUCCCUGCGUUGCUAGAACGCUGUGGAUGACGCAGGGAAGGAGGCUGGCCCCGCUAUCAGGGAGAUUAUGUCCUAGUGGGGUCCCUACAGGCAAUUAACUGUUGGAUGUGACAAGAAUGACCCAAUUCGUAUGAUCAGCUUUCAGAAUGGAUGAAGAUCUUUCACGGAGGGUGACUUCAAUUUAUCUCCAGCCUCAUCUGAUGUCUCUAUGUCCCACGCAUUGCUAUCUGCACACACUACGUUCUUGCUUCCUAGCCUUUGCUUGUUAUCGCCCUCUCCUGAAUUUUUUUUCCUAAAUACUUUUUCUCCUGCCUAAUCCUGAAUUAACUUAAUAACAUUCCAUUCAAACAUCA